AUAAAGCUGUCAGUAACGUGGAC
RNAcentral lists this microRNA (23 nucleotides) under Tribolium castaneum (red flour beetle). Its description in RNAcentral is "tca-miR-3893-3p". The record is from miRBase by way of RNAcentral. Lineage: Eukaryota; Metazoa; Arthropoda; Insecta; Coleoptera; Tenebrionidae.